GGUUAAGUGAAUAAGGGCGCACGGUGGAUGCCUUGGCACUAGGAGCCGAUGAAGGACGGGACUAACACCGAUAUGCUUUGGGGAGCUGUAAGUAAGCUAUGAUCCAGAGAUUUCCGAAUGGGGGAACCCAAUAUCUUUUAUAGGAUAUUACUUUUCAGUGAAUACAUAGCUGAUUAGAGGUAGACGCAGAGAACUGAAACAUCUUAGUACCUGCAGGAAGAGAAAGAAAAUUCGAUUCCCUGAGUAGCGGCGAGCGAAACGGGAAGAGCCCAAACCAACAAGCUUGCUUGUUGGGGUUGUAGGACUCCAAUAUGGUAGUCUGUUAGUAUAGUUGAAGGAUUUGGAAAAUUCCGCUAAAGAGGGUGAAAGCCCCGUAGACGAAAUGCUAACAACACCUAGGAGGAUCCUGAGUACGGCGGAACACGAGAAAUUCCGUCGGAAUCCGCGGGGACCAUCCCGCAAGGCUAAAUACUCCCUAGUGACCGAUAGUGAACCAGUACCGUGAGGGAAAGGUGAAAAGCACCCCGGAAGGGGAGUGAAAUAGAUCCUGAAACCGUGUGCCUACAACAAGUCAAAGCUCGUUAAUGAGUGAUGGCGUGCCUUUUGUAGAAUGAACCGGCGAGUUACGAUUGCAUGCGAGGUUAAGUCGAAGAGACGGAGCCGCAGCGAAAGCGAGUCUGAAUAGGGCGAAUGAGUAUGUAGUCGUAGACCCGAAACCAUGUGAUCUACCCAUGUCCAGGUUGAAGGUGCGGUAAAACGCACUGGAGGACCGAACCCACGUACGUUGAAAAGUGCGGGGAUGAGGUGUGGGUAGCGGAGAAAUUCCAAACGAACUUGGAGAUAGCUGGUUCUCUCCGAAAUAGCUUUAGGGCUAGCCUCGGAAUUGAGAAUGAUGGAGGUAGAGCACUGUUUGGACUAGGGGCCCAUCUCGGGUUACCGAAUUCAGAUAAACUCCGAAUGCCAUUCAUUUAUAUCCGGGAGUCAGACUGCGAGUGAUAAGAUCCGUAGUCGAAAGGGAAACAGCCCAGACCACCAGCUAAGGUCCCAAAAUAUAUGUUAAGUGGAAAAGGAUGUGGGGUUGCACAGACAACUAGGAUGUUGGCUUAGAAGCAGCCACCAUUUAAAGAGUGCGUAAUAGCUCACUAGUCGAGUGACCCUGCGCCGAAAAUGUACCGGGGCUAAACAUAUUACCGAAGCUGUGGACUACACCAUUAGGUGUAGUGGUAGGAGAGCGUUCUAAGGGCGUUGAAGGUCGAUCGUGAGGACGGCUGGAGCGCUUAGAAGUGAGAAUGCCGGUAUGAGUAGCGAAAGACAGGUGAGAAUCCUGUCCACCGUAUGACUAAGGUUUCCUGGGGAAGGCUCGUCCGCCCAGGGUUAGUCGGGACCUAAGCCGAGGCCGAUAGGCGUAGGCGAUGGACAACAGGUUGAUAUUCCUGUACCAGUUGUUUUUGUUUGAGCAAUGGAGGGACGCAGUAGGCUAAGGAAUGCAUGCGAUUGGAAGUGCAUGUCCAAGCAAUGAGUCUUGAG
Molecule: ribosomal RNA, 1527 nt
Filed under: Enterococcus faecalis
Lineage: Bacteria; Bacillati; Bacillota; Bacilli; Lactobacillales; Enterococcaceae
Description: partial 23S ribosomal RNA
Rfam family: Bacterial large subunit ribosomal RNA
Source: RNAcentral